GCUUACGGCCAUACCAGCCCAAGAAUGCAUGGUCUCGUCUGAUCUCGGAAGCUAAGAAGGCUUGGCCGGGUUAGUACUUGGAUGGGAGACCUCCUGGGAAUACCAGGUGCUGUAAGCU
Denticeps clupeoides (denticle herring) is the source of this 118-nucleotide ribosomal RNA. NCBI's taxonomy places the organism in Eukaryota, Metazoa, Chordata, Actinopteri, Clupeiformes, Denticipitidae. The record is from Ensembl.